Molecule: ribosomal RNA, 447 nt
Filed under: Escherichia coli
Lineage: Bacteria; Pseudomonadati; Pseudomonadota; Gammaproteobacteria; Enterobacterales; Enterobacteriaceae
Description: bacterial LSU rRNA
Rfam family: Bacterial large subunit ribosomal RNA
Source: RNAcentral
CCCGGUGAUCUAGCCAUGGGCAGGUUGAAGGUUGGGUAACACUAACUGGAGGACCGAACCGACUAAUGUUGAAAAAUUAGCGGAUGACUUGUGGCUGGGGGUGAAAGGCCAAUCAAACCGGGAGAUAGCUGGUUCUCCCCGAAAGCUAUUUAGGUAGCGCCUCGUGAAUUCAUCUCCGGGGGUAGAGCACUGUUUCGGCAAGGGGGUCAUCCCGACUUACCAACCCGAUGCAAACUGCGAAUACCGGAGAAUGUUAUCACGGGAGACACACGGCGGGUGCUAACGUCCGUCGUGAAGAGGGAAACAACCCAGACCGCCAGCUAAGGUCCCAAAGUCAUGGUUAAGUGGGAAACGAUGUGGGAAGGCCCAGACAGCCAGGAUGUUGGCUUAGAAGCAGUCAUCAUUUAAAGAAAGCGUAAUAGCUCACUGGUCGAGUCGGCCUGCGCG